ACGAAGGGGGCUAGCGUUGUUCGGAAUUACUGGGCGUAAAGCGCACGUAGGCGGAUAUUUAAGUCAGGGGUGAAAUCCCGGGGCUCAACCUCGGAACUGCCUUUGAUACUGGGUAUCUUGAGUAUGGAAGAGGUAAGUGGAAUUGCGAGUGUAGAGGUGAAAUUCGUAGAUAUUCGCAGGAACACCAGUGGCGAAGGCGGCUUACUGGUCCAUUACUGACGCUGAGGUGCGAAAGCGUGGGGAGCAAACAGG
This 252-nucleotide ribosomal RNA is filed under the name uncultured bacterium. RNAcentral's name for it is "partial 16S ribosomal RNA". It matches the Rfam family "Bacterial small subunit ribosomal RNA", at positions 525 to 776 of the family's 1533-position model. The record is from RNAcentral.